UACGUAGGGUGCAGGCGUUAAUCGGAAUUACUGGGCGUAAAGCGUGCGCAGGCGGUCUUUUAAGUCAGAUGUGAAAUCCCCGGGCUUAACCUGGGAACUGCGUUUGAAACUGGAAGGCUUGAGUGUGGCAUAGGGGGGUGGAAUUCCACGUGUAGCAGUGAAAUGCGUAGAGAUGUGGAGGAACACCGAUGGCGAAGGCAGCCCCCUGGGCUAACACUGACGCUCAUGCACGAAAGCGUGGGGAGCAAACAGG
This 253-nucleotide ribosomal RNA is filed under the name uncultured bacterium. Its description in RNAcentral is "partial 16S ribosomal RNA". It matches the Rfam family "Bacterial small subunit ribosomal RNA", at positions 524 to 776 of the family's 1533-position model. The record is from RNAcentral.